GAUGAACGCUGGCGGCGUGCCUAAUACAUGCAAGUCGAGCGAAUGGAUUAAGAGCUUGCUCUUAUGAAGUUAGCGGCGGACGGGUGAGUAACACGUGGGUAACCUGCCCAUAAGACUGGGAUAACUCCGGGAAACCGGGGCUAAUACCGGAUAACAUUUUGAACCGCAUGGUUCGAAAUUGAAAGGCGGCUUCGGCUGUCACUUAUGGAUGGACCCGCGUCGCAUUAGCUAGUUGGUGAGGUAACGGCUCACCAAGGCAAAGAUGCGUAGCCGACCUUAGAGGGGGGUCGGCCAAACGGAGACUGAGACACGGCCGAGACUGCGACGGGGGGCAGCGGUAGGGAAUCUUCCGCAAUGGACGAAAGUCUGACGGAGCAACGCCGCGUGAGUGAUGAAGGCUUUCGGGUCGUAAAACGCUGUUGUUAGGGAAGAACAAGUGCUAGUUGAAUAAGCUGGCACCUUGACGGUACCUAACCAGAAAGCCACGGCUAACUACGUGCCAGCCGCCGCCGUAA
RNAcentral lists this ribosomal RNA (515 nucleotides) under uncultured bacterium. RNAcentral's name for it is "partial 16S ribosomal RNA". It matches the Rfam family "Bacterial small subunit ribosomal RNA", at positions 28 to 523 of the family's 1533-position model. The record is from RNAcentral.